This 84-nucleotide non-coding RNA is filed under the name Alkalibacter saccharofermentans. RNAcentral's name for it is "c-di-GMP-II sequence". It matches the Rfam family "Cyclic di-GMP-II riboswitch aptamer". RNAcentral also lists the same sequence under 1 other name. The record is from RNAcentral. Lineage: Bacteria; Bacillati; Bacillota; Clostridia; Eubacteriales; Eubacteriaceae.
CGUUGUUAUGGAAGCACUGACUCUAAGGGAUUAUUUGGACGCUUUGCCCUUAGGAGAGCUGGUAGCGUAACCGACCAUUUAAGG